CAGCCGCCGCGGGAAUACGUAGGGUGCAAGCGUUAAUCGGAAUUACUGGGCGUAAAGCGUGCGCAGGCGGUUAUAUAAGACAGAUGUGAAAUCCCCGGGCUCAACCUAGGAACUGCAUUUGUGACUGUAUAGCUAGAGUACGGCAGAGGGGGAUGGAAUUCCGCGUGUAGCAGUGAAAUGCGUAGAUAUGCGGAGGAACACCGAUGGCGAAGGCAAUCCCCUGGGCCUGUACUGACGCUCAUGCACGAAAGCGUGGGGAGCAAACAGGAUUAGAUACCCCAGUAGUCCCUGUCUCUUAUAC
Molecule: ribosomal RNA, 301 nt
Filed under: uncultured bacterium
Lineage: Bacteria
Description: partial 16S ribosomal RNA
Rfam family: Bacterial small subunit ribosomal RNA
Source: RNAcentral